Molecule: ribosomal RNA, 496 nt
Filed under: uncultured bacterium
Lineage: Bacteria
Description: partial 16S ribosomal RNA
Rfam family: Bacterial small subunit ribosomal RNA
Source: RNAcentral
AUGCACGCUGGCGGCGUGCCUAAUACCUGCAAGUCGAGCGAACAGACGAGGAGCUUGCUCCUCUGACGUUAGCGGCGGACGGGUGAGUAACACGUGGAUAACCUACCUAUAAGACUGGGAUAACUUCGGGAAACCGGAGCUAAUACCGGAUAAUAUAUUGAACCGCAUGGUUCAAUAGUGAAAGACGGUUUUGCUGUCACUUAUAGAUGGAUCCGCGCCGCAUUAGCUAGUUGGUAAGGUAACGGCUUACCAAGGCAACGAUGCGUAGCCGACCUGAGAGGGUGAUCGGCCACACUGGAACUGAGACACGGUCCAGACUCCUACGGGAGGCAGCAGUAGGGAAUCUUCCGCAAUGGGCGAAAGCCUGACGGAGCAACGCCGCGUGAGUGAUGAAGGUCUUCGGAUCGUAAAACUCUGUUAUUAGGGAAGAACGAAUGUGUAAGUAACUAUGCACGUCUUGACGGUACCUAAUCAGAAAGCCACGGCUAACUACGUG